CUGGAACACUCCUACGGGAGGCAGCAGUGGGGAAUAUUGCACAAUGGGGGAAACCCUGAUGCAGCCAUGCCGCGUGUGUGAAGAAGGCCUUCGGGUUGUAAAGCACUUUCAGUAGGGAGGAAGGUAGUGUAGUUAACACCUGCAUUAUUUGACGUUACCUACAGAAGAAGCACCGGCUAACUCCGUGCCAGCAGCCGCGGUAAUACGGAGGGUGCGAGCGUUAAUCGGAAUUACUGGGCGUAAAGCGCAUGCAGGCGGCCUGUUAAGUCAGAUGUGAAAGCCCGGGGCUUAACCUCGGAAUUGCAUUUGAAACUGGCAGGCUAGAGUCUUGUAGAGGGGGUAGAAUUUCAGGUGUAGCGGUGAAAUGCGUAGAGAUCUGAAGGAAUACCAGUGGCGAAGGCGGCCCCCUGGACAAAGACUGACGCUCAGAUGCGAAAGCGUGGGGAGCAAACAGGAUUAGAUACCCUGGUAG
Molecule: ribosomal RNA, 472 nt
Filed under: uncultured bacterium
Lineage: Bacteria
Description: bacterial SSU rRNA
Rfam family: Bacterial small subunit ribosomal RNA
Source: RNAcentral